This is a long non-coding RNA of Hemibagrus wyckioides, 1543 nucleotides long. RefSeq lists it as uncharacterized. The transcript is spliced from 2 exons. The record is from RefSeq and is a predicted model, not a curated record. NCBI's taxonomy places the organism in Eukaryota, Metazoa, Chordata, Actinopteri, Siluriformes, Bagridae.
GUGGGCAGGGUUGGUGGAGCGCAAGUGAGCUGAACUUCUUGAGCUCUUCUUAUGAACCUUUUUCUUUUUAAGUUACUUUAUUAAGAAAGUAUUUAAUUAAUAAAAGAAAAAAAAAAAAGCAGCAGGUCUUCAGGCGGGUCUGACCACUUAGCGAUCGGAAACGUUUUUCCCCCUGCUCUUAAUUGAUGCUGUUUCAUGGAAAACUUGAGUGGGUGUUUUUUGCUCACUCCCGUCGCUGAGUUUCUGAAGGCAGGUAAGCCACUGACUAACGCACACUGCGCCUGUUCCCCGCUCCACUGUGCGUGUGACAGCGGCUAACCAGCUUUUGGAUAUACCUCUAUCUCUCUCAGAAAGACUGGAGACAUGGUUUUUAAUGCCUCUCACCGGAAGCCAGCUUCUCCUUUAUUUGGGGGUAUUUCUUCUCACCCUCCGUUACUGUAGUAGAGCGCCUACGUGCUCCAGGUCACAUGUACACCAUCUCCAUUCCUACUGUUUCAUCUCUGCUCCUCCAUCAGCUCACUCAUGUGUACAUGGCAAUCCUAAUCCCUUUACUACUCUCUCUGUGACCAAAGUAUAGUCUAGAAGUUAGAGGAAUAUGCUUUAUGAAUCAUUUUAUUUGUAGAUGCCAUAUCUGAAUACAGUAUUAUCGCCACCAUGCAUUACUACAAUAGUGUAUGUCCAGUAGUUAUAACCUACACGUGACCUUACUUUAAUACUACAGUAGUAUAGCCUAUAUUUGACCGGCUGCUUUUAGCAUUUGACUUAGUUUAUCCUGUAUGCAAUGAUCGUUUACUGUAGUAUUAAAGUGGUGUGACCAUACGUUAUUGCGGUAUAAUAAGUCUUAUCCGGAGGCGACCGGCGUUCCAACUAAGCAGAAGCCACACCUGAGCGUAUUGAAAGCCAAGAUCAACUGAUUAAACAGGUGUAGCUCCUGCGUCAGCCCUUCGUGGCCCUUCCCGGGAAAAGUGUGCGAGACCGUACAGUUAUUACAGUCAUUUAGACUAUAUGUGACCCUAAAUUGUUGCGCCACACCCUGCUAAAGUAGUCUAGAUCUAUAUGUGACUCUACGUUGUUACCGUAGUAUAAACUAGACUUUAGAUCAUUCCAGUAUAGAUCUGGCCACACCCUUCUAUAGUAGUCUAGUGUGACUAUAGUCUAUAGUGAGUAAUAAGAGAGAGAUGUAAGGAGCGUAAGUAUGAGUGAGUCAGAGUUGAAGUUGUCUUACAGUAGACUAGUUUAAGCUUGGCCCUAUGAUAAAUAAAUAUCUCUAUUUAUGGUAGUGUAUAUACUAUCCAUGGCCAUAAGUGACUAUAGUCUAUAAGUCUAUAGCUGAACUAGAACUUUUAUUGUGCUUGUAAAGUACUUUAUUAAAGGUUUAUAGCUUGUGUAUUGGGUCAUCUAAACAAUCCAAUAGUAUAGCCAUUAUGAAUUGGCUUACAUGUAAAUAGUUUAUUCUGUUUAAGGGUAGCUUAACUCAUUUUGAUUAAGUUAAGAUAUGAUCUGCUGUUUGACUGUAUAAUAAAUGUGAACGAACUUUGUGUCA